Cristinia sonorae is the source of this 109-nucleotide non-coding RNA. Lineage: Eukaryota; Fungi; Basidiomycota; Agaricomycetes; Agaricales; Stephanosporaceae. The record is from the annotation of a GenBank genome assembly.
GACCUCUUGGCGCAGUGGUAGCGCGUGAGAUUCCAGUCCGAUGUGAUUUGCCUUAGGUAGAUCACGUGGUACAUCCUCAAGGUCAUCCGUUCAAGUCGGGUAGGGGUCA